Molecule: long non-coding RNA, 383 nt
Organism: Apodemus sylvaticus (European woodmouse)
Lineage: Eukaryota; Metazoa; Chordata; Mammalia; Rodentia; Muridae
Exons: 2
Source: RefSeq, a predicted model, not a curated record
UGAUAAGGUUUGGGUGGAGGAACCCUUGGUGCUGCCAGAAACAAGCCCCAGGGGGAAGAAACCACUUCUGUGGCUCCUGGCACAGCCUCGGGUAAGAAAGGAUCCUGGGGACUCGAGAGCCAUGGUUCCUAGAUGGAAUGGGGGAAAAGGUCAACUGAGAGUUGUCGCAUUCCCUGACAGCACAUAGCCCACCCAGAUCUUGCCCCUGUUACCCACGAGCAUGCUGACAGCCUCCCUGCGCUUCCCCAGACUCAUUUUCUGCCUGGCCAGCAUCUCGGGACAAGCAUGGAUUCUACUGCACUGUGUCAUUUAUUCCUGUUGCUUCUCUUUCCAUUCCAAACCCACAAGAAGGAAAUAAAUGCAAACCCAGCCCCCUACCUUGA